Molecule: ribosomal RNA, 442 nt
Filed under: uncultured bacterium
Lineage: Bacteria
Description: partial 16S ribosomal RNA
Rfam family: Bacterial small subunit ribosomal RNA
Source: RNAcentral
CCUACGGGAGGCAGCAGUGGGGAAUAUUGGGCAAUGGGCGCAAGCCUGACCCAGCAACGCCGCGUGAAGGAAGAAGGCUCUCGGGUUGUAAACUUCUUUUAAGAGGGAAGAGCAGAAGACGGUACCUCUUGAAUAAGCCACGGCUAACUACGUGCCAGCAGCCGCGGUGAUACGUAGGUGGCAAGCGUUGUCCGGAUUUACUGGGUGUAAAGGGCGUGUAGCCGGGCUGACAAGGCAGACGUGAAAUUCCGGGGCUCAACCCCGGACCUGCAUUUGAAACUGGUGGUCUUGAGUAUCGGAGAGGCAGGCGGAAUUCCUGGUGUAGCGGUGAAAUGCGUAGAUAUUAGGAGGAACCCCAGUGGCGAAGGCGGCCUGCUGGACGACAACUGACGGUGAGGCGCGAAAGCGUGGGGAGCAAACAGGAUUAGAUACCCCGGUAGUC